GGGGGAAGUGGCGAAAGGGGCAGUAAGGCGUGGGUAACCUGCCCCGGGGACCGGGAUAGCCGUCCUAACGGACGGGUAAUACCGGGCGACGUGCCGCGGGCGCAUGCCCGUGUCACCAAAGGAGCUUCGCCCCGGGAGGGGCCCACGUGGUAUUACCUGGUUGGCGGGGUAACGGCCCACCAAGGGUCAGAUGCCUAGCGGGUGUGAGAGCACGACCCGCGCCACUGGCACUGAGACACUGGCCAGACUCCUACGGGAGGCUGCAGUCGAGGAUCUUCGGCAAUGGGCGCAAGCCUGACCGAGCGACGCCGCGUGCGCGAUGAAGGCCUUCGGGUUGUAAAGCGCUGUCGGGGGGGAGGAACGGGCCGCAAGGCCCCUGACCGACCCCCGGAGGAAGCACGGGCUAAGUUCGUGCCAGCAGCCGCGGUAAGACGAACCGUGCGAACGUUG
RNAcentral lists this ribosomal RNA (450 nucleotides) under uncultured bacterium. Its description in RNAcentral is "bacterial SSU rRNA". It matches the Rfam family "Bacterial small subunit ribosomal RNA", at positions 88 to 543 of the family's 1533-position model. The record is from RNAcentral.